This 3034-nucleotide long non-coding RNA is filed under the name Anolis carolinensis (green anole). RNAcentral describes it as "lncRNA (ENSACAG00000041745.1)". Lineage: Eukaryota; Metazoa; Chordata; Lepidosauria; Squamata; Anolidae. The record is from RNAcentral.
AUGUCCUGGACUUUUGAUUAUCUUUGGCAUGAAAAAUACAACAAGCAGAGGAAACACAUCGGCACAAAAGCCUGCAGUCCGGCAGCUACAUUUUCUCUGUGGGAGCAGAUUCUCAGUGUCUUCCAAGAAGGCGCAACAUGCUGCAUGCCCAGUGAGUUGGAUUUAGUAGCAAAAGAGGUUGGAGUUCUCCGGAAUGACAAAGAGACCAGAGAGCACCGAACCUAUGGCUGCUUUUGCCUUUGCUCCUCUCUGUGUAGCGAUGCCUGUCAACAUCCACCAGAGAGCAGAGCAGCUCUGAAGACCCAGGCCUUUUAUGCUUUGGAAAUCAAUGGAGACAGCUACACAGCCAGAUCUCGGCCAAACAACAUGGAUUGCAGUUCAUUUCAAAGGAACCUUUGGACACCAAGGAAGAAAGAAGUGGGACAUGACUCCUCCUGAAAGACUUGUGACAUUUCUCUUCCACAGUCCUACCAGCUUAAUUCUCUGGAUUGCUGAAGGAUAAAGUUAAAAGACAAGAAAGGUAUGCUGUGAAUAGGCUUUGUCAUUAACUCUCUUGUAUACUUUGAAGCAUAGUCUGGAAGUCUUUACCUCCUGGAAUGCACAGAAUGUAAUUUACAAUGCUAUCAAUUAUGUGAAUGGAAUAAUAAAACAGAGGACACAGUCAUUCCCAUGCAUUCUGGCAGGUAGUGGCAUUUAUAGAGGAUCCCAUGAAGUGUUCAGACAGUGUGGGGCUUGCGAAGUCUUUCCUUUGAAUAUCAAACAACUUUUCUUCUUGCUACUUCUCACUGGCAUAUGAAAUAGCCUUGGUAUAUGGUCAGAUGUUAUGUUUGUAAUUGCUUACAAACAGAUACUGAUAGAGGCAGGAAAAAAGGAGAAUAUUAUAAAUGGAUGCUUGUAUCACAGAGUUACAUUGGCUUAGCACAGUGGGUUAAACCACUAAGCUGCAGAAAAUCCUACCGAUCAAAGGGUUGGCAGCUCGGGACAGGGUGAGCACCCACGGUCAGCCCCAGCUCCCUGCCCAGCUAACAUAAAUGUGAGUAGAUAAAUAGGUACCAUUUUACACGAGGAGGUAAAAAGCGUCUAUAAGGACAUGCCGGCGAUUCAAUUGGGAGGACAUCUAAGGAUGACAAAGCUCCCUAGCAUGGAAAAUGGAGCAACAGCAACCCCCGCCCCCCCCCCCCGCCGCGCCUUUGACCAGAGAUGAGCACAGUCUCUAGAUGCUGGAGAUGGAAAAUAUGGGAAAAGCCUUUACCUCUGUUUAUGUAUUGUCUGCCCUUGUAUAACGGCAUUGAAUGUUUGCUGAAUAUGUGUUCUGUAAUUCUCCCUGAGUCCCCUUGGGGAGAAAAAGUGGAAUAUAAAUAAAGUAUAUUAUUAUUAUAGGAGAAAAAGUGCUGUCAUGUUUUAAAAGGUUAGAAAGGUAAGAAAAAGGUUAUUGGAUUGGUUUUAAUCUAGAUACCUGGUAGCCUACAUUGCAUUUAUGAAUUCAUAUCGUGGAGUUACAGAACUGUAACUGCUCCAUAUUCAGUCGUGUUGUGUUUUCAUGGUCAUAGCACUACUGUCAUGAUUGUAAAUGCACUACCUUCAACCUAAGUUAAUAUCUUGCAAUUGUACCUUCCUUCCCAACCUUCCUAAAUAACUAGCAGUCGUAUCCAGUGAUAGAGGUUUAUUCUGAUGGUGAUCCAGGUAUAGAGGAUGAUAUUUCCCUCCCCUGCCCACCAACAAUUUGUGAUGUGACAAGGAUUUAUGACAUGAGUGCUAUUUUUGGUCCCGGGUCACAAGCAUAAUGGACCGUAAUCUCUUAGUGUAGUUUCUGGCUGAGAUCAUUUUGGGGAGUUGCAUUGGAAAAGGAGACAUAGGGCCUUUCUGGACAGCAUAAAAAUGCAGGACAAAGAAGUGGGGCAAAAAAUCGCGGUGCCUUAAGGAGAGUUCAGACACGGAGCUGUCAGCCCUGAGAAGUGAAAAAGACAGCAAGCAUUCAGCAGUGGGACCAGAGCUGAAUUCAUUGGAGAAGCCAAGGCUGAGAGGGUCCGUUCCAAUGGAAUAGUUAGCAAUAUUUUUUGCAGUAGACCGAGAAACAAAGGGGAGUGUGGGAAGUGUUGAGUCCAAACUGUCCUUUCUAUGCUACAGAGAGAAACAUUUCUGAACAGUCAUCAGCAUUGUGAUGUCCUAGGACCCAUACUUGUGGGUUAACUAAGGUGGAGUCUGGGAGAGAAGGUAGUUGUUAAUGUGGUAGAACUUUGACAUAAAAGCCAUUCCAUGUGGCCAUUCAAAAGCAGUCAUAGGAAUGACAGCAUAGCUGCAUAUCCAAAUUAAACUCUCAGUUUCAUCUAUUAACAUCCAACAAAAUAUGUCCUCUUGGGAGCAUGCAAGAUAGAUGCCUGUGAGUAGUGUCAUUCAGCAGGGACUGGGACUGAAGCAGUUGGUAUCAGGUGACACUCAUUGUUUAAUGGGACAGGCAUCAUAUCUACAUCCCUUCCUGGCACUGCUGACAAGUAAUUCGAAAUGGGAGUGGAAGAAAAGCCUCAGUGUUUUGUAAUAUCACCCACUAGAUCAUUGCUAGUGGUUGAGCAAGAAGUCUAGACACUAAAUCUGGCGACAAAGAGGAAAAAAAAAUCUGGAUCAUUUGGUAUACAAAAAUUUAGGCCUUAUAUGUGUAUAUGAGUCCUGUGCAGGAGAUGACAAUUAAUUGUGUGUGCUUAACAUUCCAAAAGGGAUCAAUAUGUAUAAUACUACUGAAAAUAAUGGCAAAGUGAAAAUCUUCUCAUCCAAAAUUAUUUUUGUCUUGGUUUUUGAAAAGAAGAAAGAUAGCGAUUCUUCACUUAUUUUUAAGGUGAUGUCACAGACCCUUUCUAUUUCUCAAUGUGUUUGUAGGUAUGCAAGUGGUAUUUAUUCUAACCCUGUUUUGCUGCCUCUUGGAUUGUGGAAUAAAAGUGUCGCAAGAGGCCAGUCGCCAUGCAAAUUCAUAUUAGCGGGCUGAAUCUCUCAUUUGUCAUUCCUCAGAUGAGUUUGUAAAAGACCACUGAAUUAAACCAUA